AAGCAUGGGUCUGCUUGCUCCUCUGGGUGUGAGCCUUCCUUGCCAGCAAUGUGCCUAGGCAUGUAAUAAUGAUUUAUAGAGAAGACCAAGGCAAACAAGGCAACACGUUUGGAGGCAGAUCUGGUACAAGGCUUCCUUCUAAAAAUGGCCAUAGGCUUAUUCUCUUUUUGGGUCUAAAAUUACUAUGCAAAUGACUUCUCCGCAUCCCCAGCGCCUGCCUGCUACAUCUGAAAUGUGAUUCAGAAGUGACAGAGACGGAGAUCUAUGGUUUUAUUGGCAGCAGUGCAGGGAAAAGAGAUCCGAAGGAAACUGCUCUCGUUCUCAGCCCAGAAUCCUUGAAAUAGAGGUGAAGCACCCCUCUUGAAGAUACAGGAAGCUGAAUAAAAGGCAUCCUACAAAGGAAAAAGAGCAGAAAAUACGGUGCAAAAUGAAGAAUUUAGCAUUACUCUGUUAUGGGACUGCUGUAGAUGGUAUCUGUUUUACAGCUGUGGUAAAUCAGGUGGCUCUCAUGGGCUGCUGGUUGCCUUUGCUUUAUUCAGAUUGCUGGAUACAGAAUACACCCUGAAUCAACUGUGUCAUCUGUAAAGCUCCAGGCAGUCUGGGAAUGGACAAGCAACACAAACUCCUCCACACUUGCAUUCUGAAACAUCAGUGGCAGCAACGAGGUUUCUAGGAAUGCUCCUGAAAUCACAGUCAUUUCAUACAAGGAACCAACAGGAAUUAAUGGCAGAACUUGGACUUUAAUGCUGUCACGUGUACCCUCCCUACAGUGCACUGAUGGGGGGUGGCAAAUAUAGGAUAGACUCCUUCAAACAACACGUGGGCCCUCCAGUGGUGCUCACCAUGUCUCUGUGCUAAAGAAGGGAGGAAAACAGUGGUCCAAGCAGCAACGUGAAGCAAGCACAGAUAGGCUGGUGCUUCAUGGAGUCCCCAGCAACUUGUUCAGGAA
Pezoporus occidentalis (night parrot) is the source of this 949-nucleotide long non-coding RNA. RefSeq lists it as uncharacterized. The transcript is spliced from 4 exons. NCBI's taxonomy places the organism in Eukaryota, Metazoa, Chordata, Aves, Psittaciformes, Psittacidae. The record is from RefSeq and is a predicted model, not a curated record.